Salmo salar (Atlantic salmon) is the source of this 2536-nucleotide long non-coding RNA. RefSeq lists it as uncharacterized. The record is from RefSeq and is a predicted model, not a curated record. NCBI's taxonomy places the organism in Eukaryota, Metazoa, Chordata, Actinopteri, Salmoniformes, Salmonidae.
UUUCUCCCUCCAUGUUGUCUCUCUCCAGUCUGAGGCCUCUGGAUGUGGAGUUUAUGAGUCGUCUGAGUAAAGUGGUCAACAUAGUCCCUGUCAUCGCUAAGGCAGACACACUCACCCUGGAGGAGAGGGACUUCUUCAAACAGACGAUCAGGGAAGCACUGCGAGCCAACGGGAUCGACGUCUACCCUCAGGAAGAGUUUGACGAGGACGCUGAUGACAGGAUGGAUCAAUGAGAAAAUCAAGGACCCACAUGCAGAACAUCAAGGACAUCACCAGUAGUAUCCACUACGAGGUGUACCGCGUCCGCAGGCUAAAUGAGACCAACGCCCAGCCCAAUGGCCAGCCACCCAACACACUGGCCAACCCACAGCCACAGCAGGCCAACGGGGUGGCAGCACUGUUCUGACCCAUGAGAUGUAGACGUCUAACUACCCCAGAAACACACACACACACACACACACACACACACACACACACAUAUGGGUUGUUCCACAAAAUGAGACCCUUUUGGGUAGUGUGACUUGGUGAAGAGUUUUAUUUGACCUCAUUUUAACAUUCUGUCAUAAAGAGCACAUGUUCAACUUCAUUUAAAAAGCAUGUUUACCCCAUCUCAAACGGUUAAAUAAAAAAUGACUAUAGUAAGUGCCUAUUAAAAGCCAUAACAGGGUUGACUAUUUAAUCUGAAAUCAGCCAUUAAUCCCUUUGUAACAGGGGAAUGGAAGCUUAUGUGCAACAGGGAGGGGCAAGCUUCACAAAACAUUUUUUAGUGUUAAAACAUUUCUUGAAUGUUUAUAUGUGGGUAAAAGGGUUUACGUGUUAUACUCGACCCGCUCAGCUUAUUCAUGUUCAAUGUUUCUGUUGAAUAAAAAAAUGAAUAAUUUCAUCAUUAAAAUGAGAGUUCAGUCUACGUAACAGGGUUUUCUUUAUUAUUAUGUUUCUCCCUUAAAAUGAAUCACGAAUCACAUGAAAUAAAUAAUACUCUUUAGAAAUGACUUUGUCAAAGCAACAAAAUAACUAGGCCUUUACAAUGAUCGUGAAAACUUGAACAUUUUUCAAAUCUUUCUAGAAAUCACAAGAGACAUGUCAAAAUGCUGAGUUUUUCAUAUAAGUCUUAUUCAUAUAAAAAAAUACAAUUUUAUUUCAUUCAUUUAAACAGGCUUUUUUAAUUGGUGCACAAUUUAUACUUUAAAUAUCAAAAGGAUGCAAAGGGGACUCAUUUUGUGGAACAACCCAUCACUUUAAUGGCUGGCAACUAAUGUGACACACACACAUCCACUCACACUGAGCCUCCUCCGACAUCUCCCCAUCGUCACUGGCUGACUUGACAUAAAGGACUGUACAUACCAACAUCAAGUGUAUAACUAUUUUUACAUGAUCAACUGCCGAAACAGAGUUUCUGUUACCUGGAAGUUCUAGUGUAGGUAGUUGUAGGUCAGAGCUGUUGUGUAAACAGUACAAGAUGUUUCCUAGGGAGAUGGGAUGCCACAGUAUUCUAACAUACAGAUGUGUACAGACCAGCUAUUGAAGUCUAGCAGAUCAAACUUUAGUUAAACUAGAAAGACCUGGUCAAAAUGACCUGGUCUACGUCUGGGUUGUGCUGUAUAGUGUUGUCUAGAUAUUGGGAGGUAGGGUUUAGGUUCUUUGUAAAUUUUGACACAUCUGCACUGCACAGUAAAACAGCAAUGCAGUGUGGAGCAGUAAGACCUCUUGCCAAAUGAUCCCGUCUAUACCAAUAUGCCAAUGUCAUAUUUGUGACAUUUACUGUUGUGUUGUUGUUAUUAUAAUAUUAUUGCAUUGUUUUUAGCGAGAUUUAGGUGUAGGGAACACACCUGUUUUCUCCCUAUGCGUUUUCUCUUCUGUAAACCAAAUACAUGCCCUUUCUGUUUAUGCUUCUUAUGUACUCUCUUUUAGUUGAGUUAGAUGAAGGCUACCAGCUUCUAAACACACCCCUUGUUCUCCUGACAUUCUCCUGCUCUGUCGUUCGCUACGGAGAAGAAACUAACGUCCGUUGGCGUAGCCUUUGAGUCUGGGUAUCCAGGCAAGGAAAACCUAUGUAGACCCUCUUUGUUUGUAUUUAGCAGUAUCUCCUUGCCCUCAUACUUUGUCUCCCCUUUAUUUAUAGGGAAUUGUAUGAAUCUAGAUUUAUUUUCUGUCUUUUUGGACAUGAUACAGAUUAGGACUACAGGUAGGUUGAAUAUGUUGCCUAUAUACACAGCUUAAAAUAAUAUUUAGUUCCCCUGACAGUUUUGCAUUCCCGGUGUAGUCAAUCUAUAGCUCCCAUAUCUUCCCUACUAAACAUUUAUUCCAGAAAGUUAUAAAUGUGCCAUUCAGCCAAACACAAUUCAUCACUCAGCUAAAAAACUUAUGGACAGAGGUCAAAACCAAGAGUACUAUUCAUUCAGCAAUGUAGCUCACAUAACAUAAAUGACAAAAGUUAGUAAAAUGUUUAUUGUUAUGUAAUUUAUGGUAUGAUAGGUUAAGAUGUAUUUUUGAUAUGCUAUCUCAAAGAAAUAAAGACUUUUAUUGUUUACACUUA